AUGCCAAUGGGGGAGAAGUUUCAGAGAGUUUUGUGGAGAAGUUUAGAGAGUUGUCUCUUCUGGCUUUGGUUUGUUCCUAAGCAUACGCAUCUCCUUCGCAUGCAUUAUUGGUUGUUGCAUUGCACGGUGAUGCAUAAUUCCUUAUAUAAACUCUCUUGA
Molecule: ribosomal RNA, 159 nt
Filed under: Triticum aestivum (bread wheat)
Lineage: Eukaryota; Viridiplantae; Streptophyta; Magnoliopsida; Poales; Poaceae
Description: partial small subunit ribosomal RNA
Source: RNAcentral